This 595-nucleotide unclassified non-coding RNA is filed under the name Hevea brasiliensis (rubber tree). The record is from RNAcentral. Lineage: Eukaryota; Viridiplantae; Streptophyta; Magnoliopsida; Malpighiales; Euphorbiaceae.
AAUAUACCAACAAUUCAAUCCAACAAAACGAUCAAAAUAAUGUCAAUUGUCCAGAGGAUAGAUAUAGUUUCUUCAUUAUUUCUCAAGAUCACAAAUUAAAACUAUGGAUGUCUCAUAUUCAAGGAUGGAUGAAGUUCAAAAGUAGUUACUCUUGUAGAAGUUCUUGAGAAAAUUGGAUACGCCCUGAUCCUUGGCGCCCAAAUCUUGCACAAGUCCUUCGCGACCAACCACAUACUGACCAAUGAUGUGAUGCCGUUGCUUUGCAUGUUCAGUAAUGUUACCAAGCUCUUCCAUUCCCUUGAAAAGAAGCAUAUCAAUCACCUUAGGGUCGGUGACGUGGGAAUUCUUGCGGAUCUCGGAGGCGAUCGUAGAACGGAGCUGAGAAACAGUAGCGACAUCAUCUAAGUUGUAAAUGUCCAUGAUUGCUGGCAAUGAUCUACAUGCUGAUCUGAAGAAGUCGAAGACUCGAUUCCGGGCUUCUUCAAGGCUCGCGGAAUUCGGCGGAACCUUCAGACCUCGAACCGUGAAUGCCAUUUUCUGAACUUUUCUUCUCUAUGCUUUCGCCGACUCAAUGAGCGAACUCGCUCGGCUAUCG